This 497-nucleotide ribosomal RNA is filed under the name uncultured bacterium. Its description in RNAcentral is "partial 16S ribosomal RNA". It matches the Rfam family "Bacterial small subunit ribosomal RNA", at positions 28 to 507 of the family's 1533-position model. The record is from RNAcentral.
GAUGAACGCUGGCGGCGUGCCUAAUACAUGCAAGUCGAGCGAACAGACGAGGAGCUUGCUCCUCUGACGUUAGCGGCGGACGGGUGAGUAACACGUGGAUAACCUACCUAUAAGACUGGGAUAACUUCGGGAAACCGGAGCUAAUACCGGAUAAUAUAUUGAACCGCAUGGUUCAAUAGUGAAAGACGGUUUUGCUGUCACUUAUAGAUGGAUCCGCGCCGCAUUAGCUAGUUGGUAAGGUAACGGCUUACCAAGGCAACGAUGCGUAGCCGACCUGAGAGGGUGAUCGGCCACACUGGAGCUGAGACACGGUCCAGACUCCUACGGGAGGCAGCAGUAGGGAAUCUUCCGCAAUGGGCGAAAGCCUGACGGAGCGACGCCGCGUGAGUGAUGAAGGUCUUCGGAUCGUAAAACUCUGUUAUUAGGGAAGAACAAAUGUGUAAGUAACUAUGCACGUCUUGACGGUACCUAAUCAGAAAGCCACGGCUAACUACGUG